Molecule: ribosomal RNA, 390 nt
Filed under: Cryothecomonas sp.
Lineage: Eukaryota; Cercozoa; Thecofilosea; Cryomonadida; Protaspidae
Description: partial small subunit ribosomal RNA
Rfam family: Eukaryotic small subunit ribosomal RNA
Source: RNAcentral
AUUCCAGCUCCAAGAGCGUAUAUUAAAGUUGUUGCAGUUAAAAAGCUCGUAGUUGGAUUUCUGGUACAACGCGCCUGGCCCGCUUUUGUGAGUGCCGGUGCGCGUUUGCCAUCCUUCUAGAAAACGUCUCUACUCGGGCAACUGGGCCGGAUUCGCGAUCUAGAUCUUUUACUUUGAAAAAAUUAGAGUGUUUAAAGCAGGCUAUUGCCUUGAAUACAUUAGCAUGGAAUAAUAAUCUAGGACUUCGGUUCUAUUUUGUUGGUUCUUAGUACUGAAGUAAUGAUUGAUAGGGAUAGUUGGGGGUGCUAGUAUUGGCCGGCCAGAGGUGAAAUUCUUGGAUUCGGUCAAGACUAACUUAUGCGAAAGCAUUCACCAAGGAUGUCUUCAUCA